RNAcentral lists this transfer RNA (73 nucleotides) under Mizuhopecten yessoensis (Yesso scallop). RNAcentral's name for it is "tRNA-Lys". It matches the Rfam family "tRNA". From Rfam's summary of the family: Transfer RNA (tRNA) molecules are approximately 80 nucleotides in length. Their secondary structure includes four short double-helical elements and three loops (D, anti-codon, and T loops). The record is from Rfam by way of RNAcentral. Lineage: Eukaryota; Metazoa; Mollusca; Bivalvia; Pectinida; Pectinidae.
GCCCGCGUAGCUCAGUCGGUAGAGCACCAGUCUUUUAAUCUGAGGGUCUAGGAUUCGAGCCCCUACGUGGGCU